This 554-nucleotide ribosomal RNA is filed under the name uncultured Bacteroides sp. RNAcentral's name for it is "bacterial SSU rRNA". It matches the Rfam family "Bacterial small subunit ribosomal RNA", at positions 8 to 551 of the family's 1533-position model. The record is from RNAcentral. Lineage: Bacteria; Pseudomonadati; Bacteroidota; Bacteroidia; Bacteroidales; Bacteroidaceae.
AGAGUUUGAUCCUGGCUCAGGAUGAACGCUAGCUACAGGCUUAACACAUGCAAGUCGAGGGGCAGCAUGGUCUUAGCUUGCUAAGGCCGAUGGCGACCGGCGCACGGGUGAGUAACACGUAUCCAACCUGCCGUCUACUCUUGGACAGCCUUCUGAAAGGAAGAUUAAUACAAGAUGGCAUCAUGAGUCCGCAUGUUCACAUGAUUAAAGGUAUUCCGGUAGACGAUGGGGAUGCGUUCCAUUAGAUAGUAGGCGGGGUAACGGCCCACCUAGUCUUCGAUGGAUAGGGGUUCUGAGAGGAAGGUCCCCCACAUUGGAACUGAGACACGGUCCAAACUCCUACGGGAGGCAGCAGUGAGGAAUAUUGGUCAAUGGGCGAGAGCCUGAACCAGCCAAGUAGCGUGAAGGAUGACUGCCCUAUGGGUUGUAAACUUCUUUUAUAAAGGAAUAAAGUCGGGUAUGCAUACCCGUUUGCAUGUACUUUAUGAAUAAGGAUCGGCUAACUCCGUGCCAGCAGCCGCGGUAAUACGGAGGAUCCGAGCGUUAUCCGGAAU